AAAAAUUAGUUAGGACCCUUACUUGGAUCUGCGGUUAGUAUUUAAAUCGUAGAUUGUAUUUAGUUAGUUUUUAAUACCAACUGCAGAUUCAAGUGAGGGUUCUAACCCUAACCUCU
RNAcentral lists this microRNA precursor (116 nucleotides) under Chlorocebus sabaeus (green monkey). RNAcentral describes it as "miRNA (ENSCSAG00000027553.1)". The stretch from base 16 to 99 matches the Rfam family "mir-4637 microRNA precursor family". Lineage: Eukaryota; Metazoa; Chordata; Mammalia; Primates; Cercopithecidae. The record is from RNAcentral.